RNAcentral lists this non-coding RNA (84 nucleotides) under Anaerobium acetethylicum. Its description in RNAcentral is "ZTP sequence". It matches the Rfam family "ZMP/ZTP riboswitch aptamer (pfl RNA motif)". From Rfam's summary of the family: Previously known as pfl RNA. ZMP is also known as AICAR. The record is from Rfam by way of RNAcentral. Lineage: Bacteria; Bacillati; Bacillota; Clostridia; Lachnospirales; Lachnospiraceae.
CAUAACCUGUACGACUGGCGGAUAAAUGGGAUUACCCAUAGGGAGUACAGAAAACAUCAAAUGCCGACCGCCUGGGCGACCACU